This 75-nucleotide transfer RNA is filed under the name Gammaproteobacteria bacterium. Its description in RNAcentral is "tRNA-Thr". It matches the Rfam family "tRNA". From Rfam's summary of the family: Transfer RNA (tRNA) molecules are approximately 80 nucleotides in length. Their secondary structure includes four short double-helical elements and three loops (D, anti-codon, and T loops). Further hydrogen bonds mediate the characteristic L-shaped molecular structure. tRNAs have two regions of fundamental functional importance: the anti-codon, which is responsible for specific mRNA codon recognition, and the 3' end, to which the tRNAs corresponding amino acid is attached (by aminoacyl-tRNA synthetases). tRNAs cope with the degeneracy of the genetic code in two manners: having more than one tRNA (with a specific anti-codon) for a particular amino acid; and 'wobble' base-pairing, i.e. permitting non-standard base-pairing at the 3rd anti-codon position. Lineage: Bacteria; Pseudomonadati; Pseudomonadota; Gammaproteobacteria. The record is from RNAcentral.
UGCUGGGGUAGCUCAGUUGGUAGAGCAGCUCACUCGUAAUGAGAAGGUCGCAGGUUCGAUUCCGCUCUCAGCACC